Molecule: long non-coding RNA, 1007 nt
Organism: Pongo pygmaeus (Bornean orangutan)
Lineage: Eukaryota; Metazoa; Chordata; Mammalia; Primates; Hominidae
Exons: 4
Source: RefSeq, a predicted model, not a curated record
UCCGGGCACCACACCUAGUGCGGAAGCGUUUUUUAGUCUGGCUCACCGAGGGCUAGAGGGUCACCUACAUCUUUACACACAUUUAAUUUAAUUAUUAAUUUUUUAUUUUGUUUUAUAUUUUUGAGACAGGGGCUCACUCUGUCCCCCAGGCCGGAGUGCAGUGGCGCGACCACGGCCUUCUGCAGCCUCAGCUUCCGUGCUCAAGGGAUCCGCCCGCCUCAGCCUCCCAACAUGCUGGGAUUACAGGCGUGAGCCACCGCCCCGGAACAACUUAAUUAAAAAAAAAAAAGCCAUACGGUUGCCUCGAGGUGUUUUGAGGGAGACAGAGGAAGGCUUGUCUACACACACCAGAGAAUUUCUGCUGCAGAGACUGGAGUGAAGUAUCAUCCAUGAAGCAAGGAACUUCAAGGACUGCCACCAACACCAGAAGAAAAAGGGAUGGAACAGAGGGUCUCCUCUGGAGGCUUCAGAAAGAGCAUGGCCCCGGCCGGGCACAGUGGCACAUGCCUGUAAUCCCAGCACCCUGGGAGGCCAAGCGUUCCUGUGGCUUUCACGCUGUGGAGUUGGUUUGCCUGCCAGAAGGGAAGUUCUCGCAGCUGUCGGCUCUUAAAUCCAAGGAAUUGGCUGGACGCGGUGGUUCGCGCCUGUAAUCCCAGCAUUUUGGGAGGCUGAGAUGGCCUGAAGCAACUGAAGAACCACAAAAGAAGUGAAAUAGCCGGUUCCUGCCUUAACUGAUGACAUUCCACCCUUGUGAUUUGUUCCUGCUCCACCCUAACUGAACAACUGACCUUGUGACAUUCCUUCUGGACUUGAGUCUCAGGAGCUCCCCACCGAGCACCCUGUGACCCCUGCCCCUGCCCACAAGAGAAAAACCCCCUUUAACUGUAAUUUUCCACUACCUACCCGAAUCCUGUAAAACUGCCCCACCCCAUCUCCCUUUGCUGACUCCUUUUUUGGACUCAGUCGGCCUGCACCCAGAUGAUUAAAAGGCUUUAUUGCUCACACAA